GCCAGGCAUAGUGGUGUGUGCCUGUAGUCCUAGCUACUGGGAAGGCUGAGAUGGGAGGAUCACUUGAGCCUGGGAGUUUGAGGAUGCAGUGAGCCAAGAUCAGACCACUGCACUCCAGCCUGGGCAAUAGAGCAAGACCCCAUCUCAA
Unclassified non-coding RNA from Pongo abelii (Sumatran orangutan), 148 nucleotides. It matches the Rfam family "Metazoan signal recognition particle RNA". From Rfam's summary of the family: The signal recognition particle (SRP) is a universally conserved ribonucleoprotein. It is involved in the co-translational targeting of proteins to membranes. The record is from Ensembl. Lineage: Eukaryota; Metazoa; Chordata; Mammalia; Primates; Hominidae.